This 931-nucleotide long non-coding RNA is filed under the name Diabrotica virgifera virgifera (western corn rootworm). RNAcentral's name for it is "uncharacterized LOC126882419". The record is from RNAcentral. Lineage: Eukaryota; Metazoa; Arthropoda; Insecta; Coleoptera; Chrysomelidae.
AUCGAUUUUUCAUUGUUUAUCGUCGUAUUUUGGAUUCAUUUGGAUUUCGUUUCCUGUUUUUGUGAACUUUAUAAACUUUACCACAAUGCGAACUGAUUAUUUAAGGAAAUUAUUAUUGGAAACUCCAGAUGUUGCGAGAAAGAUAUUUAUUGAAGCUGAAAAUAAUUUAGGAUUUAGAUCCAUACGGAAUUCAGUCAGAAUUGGAUUUUACAGUAAAGUGCAGUCCAUCAAGUUACUAUUAUAGAUAUGUAUUUAUACAGAUCUGGUGGAGUCUCACAGUUGCUACUCUAAGCAGCAGAUGAAAGCAUACAAAAGCCUUCAGGCACAUAAAUAUUUUACAGCUGGAUUUGUUUUGAAUGGAGUAAAAAUUGUUAAUGAUUUCCUGAUUUCCAUAUUAUUGUUGGAAAGGUGAAGCAUUUCCAAAAAGCUAAUGCUAAACGACUAAAUGCUUGGGUGGGGUGAUAGCCAGUUCUGAUGACAUAGCAAAUGCACAUUGUAUGCGUAUGGCUGGUAAUAGUGAAGUCUGCAGCCAUAUUGCAGCAAUCCUAUUUUUAGCUGAGUAUGCCCAGAGCAAGACAGACGAAGAAGAACCCAAUGCAUGUACAUAUGUUACAGCUACAUGGUUUGGAGAUAGCAACAUAUGCAUUCUCUGAUGAAAAACUAAUGAGUUUUGAAACUGUUCGGUCAGAGUGCUUGUUGCGCUCACUAAACGAACUGAAAUAUAAGAAGUCUUUGGCAUUGUGUUGCAGCGAUAUGAAAAUGGUUAUUCAUUUUUAAUUAUAAUGUACUUCUUCAUCAUGAGUAAUUAUGUAUUGGUCUUUUAGAUGUGUAUUUAUUUUUGUAAUUAGUAUCAACUUGUAAUGAUAAUAUACAUUUAUCGUUUAAGGUACGACUAUGUUUUGACUCUAAAAUAAAUGUUUUAAAAAUCGAA